RNAcentral lists this ribosomal RNA (253 nucleotides) under uncultured bacterium. RNAcentral describes it as "partial 16S ribosomal RNA". It matches the Rfam family "Bacterial small subunit ribosomal RNA", at positions 524 to 776 of the family's 1533-position model. The record is from RNAcentral.
UACGUAGGUGGCGAGCGUUGUCCGGAAUUACUGGGUGUAAAGGGCGUGUAGGCGGGUUUGCAAGUCAGAUGUGAAAUUCCAGGGCUCAACCCUGGCGCUGCAUCUGAAACUGUAGAUCUUGAGUGCUGGAGAGGGAAGCGGAAUUCCUAGUGUAGCGGUGAAAUGCGUAGAUAUUAGGAGGAACACCAGUGGCGAAGGCGGCUUUCUGGACAGUAACUGACGCUGAGGCGCGAAAGCGUGGGGAGCAAACAGG